CAGUAGACAUAAUUAUUCUCAAAUGCAAGAUUCCAUUUGUGAAUCUUGACAGGGAAUAUUCGAGGAAUUCCCAACCUCCAAAUUGUAUUAAACUCCAAUGAUCAAUCAAUGCCUUUUACGCACAAGCUGUACUGCUUUUAUACACGCAGAGCAUGAAGAUGACCCUAAAACGACCAUGACUAAAACGUAUAACACACAUUACAACUCUUAAAGCAAAACUCACCGUUUCACUUAAGGCCUCAAAACACACAACUCUACAAACAAAACGACACUACAGAAUUAAACCAA
This is a long non-coding RNA of Juglans microcarpa x Juglans regia, 288 nucleotides long. RefSeq lists it as uncharacterized. The transcript has 3 exons. NCBI's taxonomy places the organism in Eukaryota, Viridiplantae, Streptophyta, Magnoliopsida, Fagales, Juglandaceae. The record is from RefSeq and is a predicted model, not a curated record.